RNAcentral lists this long non-coding RNA (243 nucleotides) under Elaeis guineensis (African oil palm). RNAcentral's name for it is "long non-coding RNA (EGUI_LNC067247)". Lineage: Eukaryota; Viridiplantae; Streptophyta; Magnoliopsida; Arecales; Arecaceae. The record is from RNAcentral.
AAACCUAAUUAAGAAGCAAAUAACCAAAACCCUAGAGUCCAAAUUGGUUGGACUUCCUCCCUUGCGCCACAUCUCUUCUCCAUGCCACUUCUCAUCGCACAAAAUGAGUUUGUGUGUGAGAAAAAUUUCAGCAAAGCCUCUGGUUGUCACCCUCCAUGGAUAAGGAAGAGUUGGUUUUAAUUUGAAUUCAAAAGAGUUUGAAUUCAAAAUCUUAAUCCCUAUCCAAUUCAAACCAUGCGUCGA